ACCGACUUCACUAAAAAAGUUAAAAAUAACUUUAAUUUCGGAAGUCGGUGUUUCUCGGUAUUAUUUGUUUGUUACACCGACUUCCGAAAUUAAAGUUAUUUUUAACUUUUUUAGUGAAGUCGGUUUAUUUUUUUGUAAAAAGUAUUUUAUUUCACACUUUUUAGUCGGUUAAAAUUCUCCGUCUCAAUAACUACUUUAUUUAUUUGUAUUGUCACUUAAUUAACUUUAUUGUGAUUUCUAUGUGAGUAUGAAGUUCCAUUGGCCAUUUCUGGUCUUCUUCAUCAGUUCCACCUCUUCAAAGGUUACUUUUUGACUGUAAAUGCUUCAAUUCUAGAUGAAUAUACCAAAAUCACUAUAUAGUUCCCUAUAAUAUUUGAGGAGUUCCCUCGAUUUCUCUAAGAUCCCAUCAUCAGAUCCUAACUUGGUGACAAUGGGACCACCUCAGAACUAUCUACUUUCGAACAAAAAAAGAAUUUUGAAAAUCCGUCGACAAUUGACGGAGUAUUCGAUGAACAAACAUACAAAAAAAAAAAAAAAAAAAAAAAAAACAUACAAACAGCCGAACAUAGUACCUCCUCCUUUUUGUGAAGUCGGUAAAAAACAAA
Spodoptera frugiperda (fall armyworm) is the source of this 605-nucleotide long non-coding RNA. RefSeq lists it as uncharacterized. The transcript is spliced from 2 exons. Lineage: Eukaryota; Metazoa; Arthropoda; Insecta; Lepidoptera; Noctuidae. The record is from RefSeq and is a predicted model, not a curated record.